AAUCAUCAACCUCAAAACCUUUGUGUUUUCGAGGCUUGGUCUUGAGGGUUUGCAGGCCUUUACCGGUCAGCUCCCUUUAAAUCUAUUAGCGAGACUUCCCUGUGCUGACUGUCUCUUGGCGUGAUAAUUAUCUGCGUCAAACUUGACGGUCUCGUUGGGCUUGCUUCUAAUCGUCUUCGGACAACAGGAUCGAAGUGCAUAUAUGCGCCUCUUUUCAAACCUU
This 223-nucleotide unclassified non-coding RNA is filed under the name uncultured Cristinia. Its description in RNAcentral is "partial internal transcribed spacer 2". Lineage: Eukaryota; Fungi; Basidiomycota; Agaricomycetes; Atheliales; Atheliaceae. The record is from RNAcentral.